UAUUAUUCGUCCUCAGUUGGUGCCAACUAGCAAUCUAGAUGGCUGAAAUGGGAAUCUGGUGCAAAUCCAGAACUGACGCGCAGCGGUAAUAGAGAACGAACGUUCAAGCAGACACUGCAUGAUUUAUGUGGGAAGUCGAGCAAGUAGGCGGUUAAAUCCGUGCUCUUAAGUCCGAAUACCAGCCAACAGCCGAGGUAUUCA
Molecule: non-coding RNA, 201 nt
Filed under: Vibrio azureus
Lineage: Bacteria; Pseudomonadati; Pseudomonadota; Gammaproteobacteria; Vibrionales; Vibrionaceae
Also listed under: 1 other name
Source: RNAcentral